GCGCAACAGACAGAAGGAUUCACCCUAGAGCUUUGAUGGGCACCUCUGAAUUUCUGCCUGUUUAAAGCAUGAUGAAGCCAGCCAUUAAAGAAUGUUUAGGAGGAAGUAACCCUACCUUCAUGUACUCCGUGUUCGUUAAUAAUAUGGAAUAAUGUGCCACUUCUUUUCAAGAUACGAAGAAUUAUUUUCAGAAAGCAGAUGAAAAGUCCUCUCAGUACUACAAGAAGAAUAUCAUGUUGAGGACUCGGAGAUCCCCGAUUAAAUACUUCUCUGGAGGCUACAACACUACAUGACAGAGAGGAAUAACUUACCUUGAAACAGGCAACCAUGCUGUGUAUCCAAUUCCUGGCAACCAAAAGCAUAUUUCAGUCCAGAAAAAGCAGUCUUGGCAAUACCUUAUCAAGAAAGUAAGAAGCAAACUGAGCUGUUUCUCAUCUCGUCCUGCAAGAGCAUUUUUCAGCGUUCCUCUGCGACUUAAUUCAUGCAUGACAGCAACA
Hemicordylus capensis (graceful crag lizard) is the source of this 497-nucleotide long non-coding RNA. RefSeq lists it as uncharacterized. The record is from RefSeq and is a predicted model, not a curated record. NCBI's taxonomy places the organism in Eukaryota, Metazoa, Chordata, Lepidosauria, Squamata, Cordylidae. The transcript is spliced from 3 exons.